UAGGGAAUCUUCGGCAAUGGGGGGAACCCUGACCGAGCAACGCCGCGUGAGUGAAGAAGGUUUUCGGAUCGUAAAGUUCUGUUGUUAAGGAAGAACGAGUGUGAGAAUGGAAAGUUCAUGCUGUGACGGUACUUAACCAGAAAGGGACGGCUAACUACGUGCCAGCAGCCGCGGUAAUACGUAGGUCCCGAGCGUUGUCCGGAUUUAUUGGGCGUAAAGCGAGCGCAGGCGGUUAGAAAAGUCUGAAGUGAAAGGCAGUGGCUCAACCAUUGUAGGCUUUGGAAACUGUUUAACUAGAGUGCAGAAGGGGAGAGUGGAAUUCCAUGUGUAGCGGUGAAAUGCGUAGAUAUAUGGAGGAACACCGGUGGCGAAAGCGGCUCUCUGGUCUGUAACUGACGCUGAGGCUCGAAAGCGUGGGGAGCGAACAGG
Molecule: ribosomal RNA, 429 nt
Filed under: Verrucomicrobiota bacterium
Lineage: Bacteria; Pseudomonadati; Verrucomicrobiota
Description: Verrucomicrobia bacterium partial 16S ribosomal RNA
Rfam family: Bacterial small subunit ribosomal RNA
Source: RNAcentral